AUGACAAUCAUUAGCUGGAACUGCCGGGGCCUGGGGCAGCCCCGGACAGUUAAGGAGCUCGUGUGCCUAGUGCACACGUACCGUCCUUCGAUCGUCUUCAUAUCUGAAACUAGGAAAAGCGAGGAGUAUGUAAAUAAACUACGUAGGAGACUAGGUCUCAAGCACUAUAUUGCCCAUGUUGGAAAAGGGAAGGGUGCAGGAAUCGCUCUCUUC
This 213-nucleotide ribosomal RNA is filed under the name Triticum aestivum (bread wheat). Its description in RNAcentral is "partial small subunit ribosomal RNA". Lineage: Eukaryota; Viridiplantae; Streptophyta; Magnoliopsida; Poales; Poaceae. The record is from RNAcentral.